Molecule: long non-coding RNA, 828 nt
Organism: Pundamilia nyererei
Lineage: Eukaryota; Metazoa; Chordata; Actinopteri; Cichliformes; Cichlidae
Exons: 5
Source: RefSeq, a predicted model, not a curated record
UGUAUGCGGGACAGGCCGUCACUGUAUGGAACGCGAAGUACGAUUGCGGUCAAAUCAGAUUUGGUAUUUGUAAGAGUGCCAUCUCUUGGUCAGAAAGUGACAUUGCAGGUAACGGUACGGGGCAUUUAAGGUCGAGUAAGGGACAAACCAAUGACAGUAUAGAAAUCAGUUUUGCGCAUUAUAUUGUGGUAUCCCUUAGUUGCCACUUGCCUAAAUUAGGAUUAUCUUCCAGUGACAAUUCCCAAAUAUAACGGUGUAAGAGAAGCUGCAAAGAUCACUGACAUGACAUGUGAAGAGAAAUCUGAGAUCUCCAUGGCAAAGACACGUCAGCUGUUGUCAGAAGCUCAGUUACUUAUGAGAGACAUUGAAGAGAUGAUGAAUUGGUGUGCAUCGUUAGAUCUCUCCAACCAGAGACAGCAAAGAAUGAAUCAGCAGGAGUGUCGGGCCAGCAUAGAGGAGGACGGAGAGACCUUGGUCAUAGAGGGCUUCAGGUUUGAGAGUGCAGCAAGCAGGCAGGAGCUGAAGAGGCUGAGUUCACAGGCUGCUGCAGGAGGAUGCCAGGGUGACACGUGACUGACUUCCAACUUUUGCUGGACAUUUCCCCCGGUAUGCAACAACACGCUGUGAAUGAGAGCUGAGGGGAGGACAUGGUCUGCUCUCUGAUUACACGGAGCUUUUAGGCUGUUCAGUGUCUUUCCUGUUUAUACUGUAGUGUAGCUUGUGAGUGCUUUUAUUAUAGUGAAGUUUCAUAGCUCACUGUGCUUACUAGUACAGCUGGCUUAACAAAGUACUGUAUUAUAAAUAAAAUAUUACAUUGCCUUUCUUGGA